Molecule: ribosomal RNA, 480 nt
Filed under: uncultured bacterium
Lineage: Bacteria
Description: partial 16S ribosomal RNA
Rfam family: Bacterial small subunit ribosomal RNA
Source: RNAcentral
GACGAACGCUGGCGGCGCGCUUAACACAUGCAAGUCGAGCGAUGAAACUUUAACAGAACCCUUCGGGGCGAAGAUAUAGUGGAUUAGCGGCGGACGGGUGAGUAACACGUGAGUAACCUGCCUUAGACAUUGGGAUAGCCUCGGGAAACCGGGAUUAAUACCAAAUAAAAUCAUAAUGACACAUGUCAUAACGAUCAAAACUCCGGUGGUCUAAGAUGGACUCGCGUCCCAUUAGCUAGUUGGUAGAGUAAAAGCCUACCAAGGCGACGAUGGGUAGCCGGGCGGGGGGGGUGAACGGCCGGAUUGGAACUGAGGAACAGUCCAAACUCGUACGGGAGGGAGCAGUGGGGAAUAUUGCACGAGGGAGGGAGCUCUGAUAAAGCGGCGCGGGGGGAACGGGGAAGGCGGUCGAAUAGUAAAGUUCUUUUAUAUGAGAAGAUAAUGACGGUACCAUAAGAAAAAGCCCCGGCUAACUACGUG